This 493-nucleotide ribosomal RNA is filed under the name uncultured bacterium. RNAcentral describes it as "partial 16S ribosomal RNA". It matches the Rfam family "Bacterial small subunit ribosomal RNA", at positions 29 to 508 of the family's 1533-position model. The record is from RNAcentral.
AGUGAACGCUGGCGGCAGGCCUAACACAUGCAAGUCGAACGGCAGCACAGUAAGAGCUUGCUCUUACGGGUGGCGAGUGGCGGACGGGUGAGGAAUACAUCGGAAUCUACUUUUUCGUGGGGGAUAACGUAGGGAAACUUACGCUAAUACCGCAUACGACCUACGGGUGAAAGCAGGGGAUCUUCGGACCUUGCGCGAUUGAAUGAGCCGAUGUCGGAUUAGCUAGUUGGCGGGGUAAAGGCCCACCAAGGCGACGAUCCGUAGCUGGUCUGAGAGGAUGAUCAGCCACACUGGAACUGAGACACGGUCCAGACUCCUACGGGAGGCAGCAGUGGGGAAUAUUGGACAAUGGGCGCAAGCCUGAUCCAGCCAUACCGCGUGGGUGAAGAAGGCCUUCGGGUUGUAAAGCCCUUUUGUUGGGAAAGAAAAGCAGCAGGUUAAUACCCCGCUGUUCUGACGGUACCCAAAGAAUAAGCACCGGCUAACUUCGUGC